RNAcentral lists this ribosomal RNA (253 nucleotides) under uncultured bacterium. RNAcentral describes it as "partial 16S ribosomal RNA". It matches the Rfam family "Bacterial small subunit ribosomal RNA", at positions 524 to 776 of the family's 1533-position model. The record is from RNAcentral.
UACAGAGGUCUCAAGCGUUGUUCGGAUUCAUUGGGCGUAAAGGGUGUGUAGGUGGCGCCGUAAGUCGGGUGUGAAAUUUCGGAGCUUAACUCCGAAACUGCAUUCGAUACUGCCGUGCUUGAGGACUGGAGAGGAGACUGGAAUUUACGGUGUAGCGGUGAAAUGCGCAGAUAUCGUAAGGAAGACCAGUGGCGAAGGCGGGUCUCUGGACAGUUCCUGACGCUGAGGCACGAAGGUCAGGGGAGCAAACGGG